GUAGGUGGCAAGCGUUGUCCGGAAUUACUGGGUGUAAAGGGAGUGUAGGCGGGAUAUCAAGUCAGAAGUGAAAAUUACGGGCUCAACUCGUAACCUGCUUUUGAAACUGACAUUCUUGAGUGAAGUAGAGGCAAGCGGAAUUCCUAGUGUAGCGGUGAAAUGCGUAGAUAUUAGGAGGAACACCAGUGGCGAAGGCGGCUUGCUGGGCUUUUACUGACGCUGAGGCUCGAAAGCGUGGGGAGCAAACAGGAUUAGAUACCCUGGUAGUCCACGCCGUAAACGAUGAUUACUAGGUGUGGGGGGAUUGACCCCUUCCGUGCCGGAGUAAACACAAUAAGUAAUCCACCUGGGGAGU
RNAcentral lists this ribosomal RNA (355 nucleotides) under uncultured bacterium. RNAcentral describes it as "bacterial SSU rRNA". It matches the Rfam family "Bacterial small subunit ribosomal RNA", at positions 527 to 881 of the family's 1533-position model. The record is from RNAcentral.